RNAcentral lists this ribosomal RNA (490 nucleotides) under uncultured bacterium. RNAcentral's name for it is "partial 16S ribosomal RNA". It matches the Rfam family "Bacterial small subunit ribosomal RNA", at positions 29 to 507 of the family's 1533-position model. The record is from RNAcentral.
AGUGAACGCUGGCGGCAGGCCUAACACAUGCAAGUCGAACGGCAGCACAAGAGAGCUUGCUCUCUGGGUGGCGAGUGGCGGACGGGUGAGGAAUGCAUCGGAAUCUUCCCAUUUGUGGGGGAUAACCUCGGGAAACCGGGACUAAUACCGCAUACGACCUACGGGUGAAAGCAGGGGAUCUUCGGACCUUGCGCAGAUGGAUGAGCCGAUGCCGGAUUAGCUAGUUGGAGGGGUAAAGGCCCACCAAGGCGACGAUCCGUAGCUGGUCUGAGAGGAUGAUCAGCCACACUGGGACUGAGACACGGCCCAGACUCCUACGGGAGGCAGCAGUGGGGAAUAUUGGACAAUGGGCGCAAGCCUGAUCCAGCCAUGCCGCGUGUGUGAAGAAGGCCUUCGGGUUGUAAAGCACUUUUGUUGGGAAAGAAAAGCAGCCGGUUAAUACCCGGUUGUCAUGACGGUACCCAAAGAAUAAGCACCGGCUAACUUCGUG